RNAcentral lists this ribosomal RNA (484 nucleotides) under uncultured bacterium. Its description in RNAcentral is "partial 16S ribosomal RNA". It matches the Rfam family "Bacterial small subunit ribosomal RNA", at positions 30 to 507 of the family's 1533-position model. The record is from RNAcentral.
AUUGAACGCUGGCGGCAGGCCUAACACAUGCAAGUCGAGCGGAUGAAGGGAGCUUGCUCCUGGAUUCAGCGGCGGACGGGUGAGUAAUGCCUAGGAAUCUGCCUGGUAGUGGGGGAUAACGUCCGGAAACGGGCGCUAAUACCGCAUACGUCCUGAGGGAGAAAGUGGGGGAUCUUCGGACCUCACGCUAUCAGAUGAGCCUAGGUCGGAUUAGCUAGUUGGUGGGGUAAAGGCCUACCAAGGCGACGAUCCGUAACUGGUCUGAGAGGAUGAUCAGUCACACUGGAACUGAGACACGGUCCAGACUCCUACGGGAGGCAGCAGUGGGGAAUAUUGGACAAUGGGCGAAAGCCUGAUCCAGCCAUGCCGCGUGUGUAAAGAAGGUCUUCAGAUUGUAAAGCACUUUAAGUUGGGAGGAAGGGCAGUAAGUUAAUACCUUGCUGUUUUGACGUUACCAACAGAAUAAGCACCGGCUAACUUCGUG